RNAcentral lists this unclassified non-coding RNA (185 nucleotides) under plant metagenome. RNAcentral's name for it is "partial contains small subunit ribosomal RNA and internal transcribed spacer 1". The stretch from base 1 to 46 matches the Rfam family "Eukaryotic small subunit ribosomal RNA", at positions 1786 to 1831 of the family's 1831-position model. The record is from RNAcentral.
AAGUCGUAACAAGGUUUCCGUAGGUGAACCUGCGGAAGGAUCAUUAAUGAAGUUUCAAAAGGGUGCUUUCGAGACCCGACUCAUUUAUUCUUCUACCCUGUGCAUAACACUUUUUUCAUCAUUUUAAACACUAUUAAAGUAAUGGAUGUAAUAACUUGUCGCAAGACAAUCAAAACAAAAAAUAA